This 135-nucleotide ribosomal RNA is filed under the name Triticum aestivum (bread wheat). Its description in RNAcentral is "partial small subunit ribosomal RNA". Lineage: Eukaryota; Viridiplantae; Streptophyta; Magnoliopsida; Poales; Poaceae. The record is from RNAcentral.
AUGAGGCUAAGAGGCACAUCGGGUGCUGUUAUGAGAGAUGACAAAGGAAACUUCAUAGUAGGUGGUAACUGGAGGAUUCAGUACUACGCGGAUACUCUGACAGCGGAGGCGGUAGCACUCAGAUUUGGCCUAUAG